GCCAGUGUGGUGUGGUGGUUUGAGCGUUGGACUAUGACUCUGGAGACCAGGGUUCAAAUCCCGAAGCAAGCA
Molecule: non-coding RNA, 72 nt
Organism: Phrynosoma platyrhinos (Desert horned lizard)
Lineage: Eukaryota; Metazoa; Chordata; Lepidosauria; Squamata; Phrynosomatidae
Source: the annotation of a GenBank genome assembly